GAAAUUCGGACUAAUAUCCCAUAUCGAACGAGGUGGCAUCACCUUGUUCUGAAAGCUCCGGCGGUACAGGAUGGCCAUGCGCACGAUUAGCUAGUUGGUGAGGUAACGGCUCACCAAGGCUACGAUCGUUAGGGGGCCGUGAGAGGGUUAUCCCCCACCACUGGUACUGAGACACGGACCAGACUCCUACGGGAGGGCAGCAGUGAGGAAUAUUGCGCAAUGGAGGCAACUCUGACGCAGCCAUGCCGCGUGCAGGAAGAAGGCGCUACGCGUUGUAAACUGCUUUAUCCGGGAAGAAACCCCUCCUACGUGUGGAGGGUUGACGGUACCGGAGGAAUAAGCACCGGCUAACUUCGUG
RNAcentral lists this ribosomal RNA (358 nucleotides) under uncultured bacterium. RNAcentral describes it as "bacterial SSU rRNA". It matches the Rfam family "Bacterial small subunit ribosomal RNA", at positions 153 to 507 of the family's 1533-position model. The record is from RNAcentral.